GACGUAGGGGGCAAGCGUUGUUCGGAAUUAUUGGGCGUAAAGCGCUCGUAGGCGGGACAGGAAGUUCGUGUUGAAAGACCUCGGCUCAACUGAGGGACCGGCUCGAAUACUCUUGUUCUUGAGGCAAUCAGAGGGUGAUGGAAUUCCCGGUGUAGCGGUGAAAUGCGUAGAUAAUCGGGAGGAACACCAGUGGCGAAGGCGAUCACCUGGGGUUGUUCUGACGCUGAGGAGCGAAAGCUAGGGGAGCAAACGGGG
Molecule: ribosomal RNA, 255 nt
Filed under: uncultured bacterium
Lineage: Bacteria
Description: partial 16S ribosomal RNA
Rfam family: Bacterial small subunit ribosomal RNA
Source: RNAcentral